This 274-nucleotide ribosomal RNA is filed under the name uncultured bacterium. RNAcentral describes it as "partial 16S ribosomal RNA". It matches the Rfam family "Bacterial small subunit ribosomal RNA", at positions 523 to 796 of the family's 1533-position model. The record is from RNAcentral.
AUACGAAGGGUGCUAGCGUUGUUCGGAAUUACUGGGCGUAAAGAGCAUGUAGGCGGAUAGAUUAGUCAGAGGUGAAAGCCCCGAGCUCAACUCGGGAACUGCCUUUGAUACUGUUUAUCUAGAGACCGAGAGAGGUGAGUGGAAUUCUCAGUGUAGAGGUGAAAUUCGUAGAUAUUGGGAAGAACACCAGUGGCGAAGGCGGCUCACUGGCUCGGAACUGACGCUGAGAUGCGAAAGCGUGGGGAGCGAACAGGAUUAGAUACCACAGUAGUCC